UACAGAGGGGGCGAGCGUUGUUCGGAAUUACUGGGCGUAAAGGGCGCGUAGGCGGCCCGCUAAGUCGAACGUGAAAUCCCCAGGCUCAACCUGGGAACUGCGUCCGAUACUGGCAGGCUUGAAUCCGGGAGAGGGAUGUGGAAUUCCAGGUGUAGCGGUGAAAUGCGCAGAUAUCAGGAAGAACACCCGUGGCGAAGGCGGCUCUCUGGUACGUGACUGACGCUGAGACGCGAAAGCGUGGGGAGCGAACAGG
RNAcentral lists this ribosomal RNA (253 nucleotides) under uncultured bacterium. Its description in RNAcentral is "partial 16S ribosomal RNA". It matches the Rfam family "Bacterial small subunit ribosomal RNA", at positions 524 to 776 of the family's 1533-position model. The record is from RNAcentral.